Molecule: ribosomal RNA, 468 nt
Filed under: uncultured bacterium
Lineage: Bacteria
Description: partial 16S ribosomal RNA
Rfam family: Bacterial small subunit ribosomal RNA
Source: RNAcentral
GACGAACGCUGGCGGCGUGCUUAACACAUGCAAGUCGAACGGAAAGGCCCUGCUUUUGUGGGGUGCUCGAGUGGCGAACGGGUGAGUAACACGUGAGUAACCUGCCCUUGACUUUGGGAUAACUUCAGGAAACUGGGGCUAAUACCGGAUAGGAGCUCCUGCUGCGUGGUGGGGGUUGGAAAGUUUCGGCGGUCGGGGAUGGACUCGCGGCUUAUCAGCUUGUUGGUGGGGUAGUGGCUUACCAAGGCUUUGACGGGUAGCCGGCCUGGGAGGGUGACCGGCCACAUUGGGACUGAGGUACGGCCCAGACUCCUACGGGAGGCAGAAGUGGGGAAUAUUGCACAAUGGGCGGAAGCCUGAUGCAGCAACGCCGCGUGCGGGAUGACGGCCUUCGGGUUGAAAACCGCUUUCGGCUGUGACGAAGCGUGAGUGACGGUAAUGGGUAAAGAAGCACCGGCUAACUACGUG